Molecule: transfer RNA, 70 nt
Filed under: Elacatinus chancei (shortstripe goby)
Lineage: Eukaryota; Metazoa; Chordata; Actinopteri; Gobiiformes; Gobiidae
Also listed under: 4 other names
Description: tRNA-Pro
Source: RNAcentral
AAAGAAGGGAGAUUUUAACUCCAACCGCUGGCUCCCAAAGCCGGCAUUCUAAAUUAAACUAUUCCUUGAA